RNAcentral lists this ribosomal RNA (432 nucleotides) under uncultured bacterium. RNAcentral's name for it is "bacterial SSU rRNA". It matches the Rfam family "Bacterial small subunit ribosomal RNA", at positions 354 to 796 of the family's 1533-position model. The record is from RNAcentral.
GUGGGGAAUAUUGCACAAUGGGCGCAAGCCUGAUGCAGCGACGCCGCGUGAGGGAUGACGGCCUUCGGGUUGUAAACCUCUUUCAGCAGGGAAGAAGCUUUCGGGUGACGGUACCUGCAGAAGAAGCACCGGCUAACUACGUGCCAGCAGCCGCGGUAAUACGUAGGGUGCGAGCGUUGUCCGGAAUUAUUGGGCGUAAAGAGCUUGUAGGCGGUUUGUCGCGUCUGCUGUGAAAAUCCGGGGCUCAACCCCGGACUUGCAGUGGGUACGGGCAGACUGGAGUGUGGUAGGGGAGACUGGAAUUCCUGGUGUAGCGGUGGAAUGCGCAGAUAUCAGGAGGAACACCGAUGGCGAAGGCAGGUCUCUGGGCCACUACUGACGCUGAGAAGCGAAAGCAUGGGGAGCGAACAGGAUUAGAUACCCUUGUAGUCC